AAAAAAAAAAAAAAAAAAAUUACAUGGACAUUUUAGAUUUACAAGGAACUAAGUAGUAGGUGCUCAUGUAAUAACAUUGACAAAGAAACGUUUCUUCAGUUUUUUCCACUACCUGGAUUAUGGGGGGAACGGUUAUUUUUAAAAUUCAAUUUAAAAAAUUCUGGUUUUAUAGAUUUUGAAGAGUUCAUAAUAGGAAUAGCAAUAUGUUGUAGGGGAACAAAGGGUGAUAAAAUAAACGUGUUGUUCGAUUUAUUUGAUUUAAAUUCAGAUGGGUAUAUACAAAAAUCAGAGAUUAUAGCUAUGUUGUCAAGUAUUCCUUAUAUACAUAAGUUGAAAAAAACAUUUUUUAACAAAAAUAAUAGAAAAACAUAUGAACAUGAUUAUAUUUAUGGUAAUACUAAUGAAGGUUUGGAUUAUGAAUUAAACACAUGUACAAACGUAUGCGCAAAUGGCGAAAUAAAAAUGAGUGAUGAUAGGCAUGAUGCUAUACAAACAGGUUCAAAUGAAGGGAAAAAUGAAGAACCAAGUGGGCCCUAUUCGAGUGUAGACGUAAAACCUGUGAACACUACUACUACUACUACUACUACUACUAAUAAUAAUUAUAAUAAUAAUAAUAAUAAUAGUAUAAAUAAAAAUGGCAUUCAUGGAAAUGAAGAUAGCUAUAAUAACAAUAGUAAUGAUAAUGGUAAUGGUAAUGAAAAUGAAAAUGAAAAUGACAAUGAAAAUGACAAUGAAAAUGAAAAUGAAAAUGAAAAUGACAAUGAUAAUGAAAAUAACAAUAAGAAUGACAGUAAAAAUGACAGUAAAAAUGAGAGUGACAGUGAAAAUGAUGAAUAUAUAUGUAAUGAUAAAUGUGCUUAUUGUGGUAACUGUGUGGGUGAAUACGAAUAUGAAAAUAUAAUUUCUGACAACUACGAUGAUGAUGAUGAUCAUGAUGAUUCUUAUAAUGACAUAGAGGACUACGGUGCAGGUGAAGGCGGAAGCAGUAACAGUAGUAGUAGCAGUUAUAGCAUACGUAGUAACAUUAGUAUUGGUAGACCUAAUAGUGGCAUAACAAAUAAUGAUGAAAUUAACUAUAGUAGUGAUAUUAACAAGAAUAAUAACAUUAACAAUAAAAAUUAUCUUCAUAGUAAAUCUAGCAAUAGUGCUAAGUAUGAACUUAAUUAUAGUACAAGUUGUAGUAGAUGUAUGAAAAAAAAAAAAAAAAAUGCAUUUUAUGGUAAAAAUUUUAUUAAUUUGGAUGUAAUAGCAAAAAAAAUAAGAAGAGAAAAAAAAAAACAACUAGCAAAGUGUUUUGAAGAGUUUAUAAAGGAACAACGUGGAUAUAAAAACAACAGAGGUUUUGAUUAUCAAAAAAGAAAAAGAAAACAUAGAACAAAUGAAAAGAUCGAUUAUACAUAUGAUGACACCCCUCAGGUUCAAAAUGGACAAAAUGGACAAAAUGGA
RNAcentral lists this long non-coding RNA (1446 nucleotides) under Piliocolobus tephrosceles (Ugandan red Colobus). RNAcentral's name for it is "lncRNA (ENSPTEG00000005245.1)". The record is from RNAcentral. Lineage: Eukaryota; Metazoa; Chordata; Mammalia; Primates; Cercopithecidae.